GAUGAACGCUGGCGGCGUGCCUAAUACAUGCAAGUCGAACGAACAGACGCGGCUCUUGCUCCUCUGUCGUUAGCGGCGCACGGGUGAGUAACACGUGGAUAACCUACCUAUCAGACUGGUAUCUUUUCGGGAAACCGGCGCUUAUACCUGAUAAUCUAUUGAACCGCAUGGUUCAUUAGUAAAUUACGGUUUUUCUGUCACUUAUCGCUGGUUCCGCGCUGCAUUGGCUAGUUGGUACGGUAAAGGCUUACCAAGGCAACGAUGCGUAGCCGGCCGUAGAGGGGGGUAGGCCACACGAGAGCUGGACCACGGUCCAGGAGCCUGAGGGAGGGAGCAGUAGGGAAUCUUCCGCAAUUGGCGAAAGGCUGACGGAGCAAAGGCGCGUGAGUGAAGAAAGUUCUCGGAUCGGAAAACUGUGUUUUUAGGGAAGAACAAAUGUGUAAGUAACUAUGCACGUCUUGACGGUACCUAACCAGAAAGCCACGGCUAACUACGUG
Molecule: ribosomal RNA, 497 nt
Filed under: uncultured bacterium
Lineage: Bacteria
Description: partial 16S ribosomal RNA
Rfam family: Bacterial small subunit ribosomal RNA
Source: RNAcentral